This 1411-nucleotide long non-coding RNA is filed under the name Mus caroli (Ryukyu mouse). RNAcentral's name for it is "predicted gene 43255 (MGP_CAROLIEiJ_G0003350.1)". Lineage: Eukaryota; Metazoa; Chordata; Mammalia; Rodentia; Muridae. The record is from RNAcentral.
AUAUACGAAACACACUACUAUAGCAGCCUAUGAGAGGAGACAUGGCUGAUUGCUUUGCACUGGGUAACCAGUUGGUGUGUGCUUCCCCCGAGAAGACCACCUCUCCUGCUCCCAGUUUCCUUCAAUUGCCUGUAGUUUGUUGUGUAGGGAUGAGACCUUGUAUGGAGAGCAGCACAGUCACAAUGCCAGCUUUCUUCCUGCUGAGCUUCAUUGCUGCAGCUUUGGAUUCUACAAGACUUGUCUUGAGUCUCACUCUGAAGCCUAGGCUGACCUAUGGUCAUGCCUCCACCUCUGCCUACUGAGUGUGAGAAACACGGGCAUCAGCCAUCACACCUAGUUUUAUUUGAGGUAAAUCGAGUCUUUGUUCUUGGGAAGCAGACAACACAGAUACAAUGUGUAUCAUGAAUAGAUGUGGAGGUUUGAAUGGCAGUGGGCACAUAGGGCUUCAAAACUGUAUUGAGCAAUUCAGGCUUAGAUCAACAGUUAAUUAAUGGGACCUCGUGAAACCAAAAGGCAAAGAGGGCAAAGAGCACUGUCAAAGGGGCAAAAUGGCAGUUUGCAGAAUGGGGAAGCUCUUUACCAACCCUACAUUUGACAGAGGGCUGAUACCCAAAAUAUACAAAGAACUCAAGAAAAUAGACAUCAACAAAUGAAAUAAUACAAUUAAAAAUUGGGGUACUUUGCUAAACAGAGAAUUCUCAGCAGAGGAAUGGCUGAGAUGCACUUAAAGAAAUGUUCAAUAUCCUUAGUCAUCAGGGGAAUUCAAAUCAAAGACUCUGAGAUUUCAUCUUACAGCCACCAGACUGGCUAAGAUCAAAAACUCAAGUGACAGCUCAUGCCGGCAAGAAUGUGGAGCAAGGGGACAUUCCUCCAGUACUGGUGGGCAAAUAAACCCAUACAACCACUUUAAAAAUCAAUUUGGCAGUUUCUCAGAAACUGAGAAUAGUUCUAUCUCAAAACCAAGCUGGUCCACUCCUGGGCAUGUACCCAAAAGAUGCCUCACCAAACCACAAGGGCACUUGCUCCAUUAUGCUCAUAGCAGCUUUAUUCAUAAUAGCCAGAGACUGGAAACAAUCUGCAUGUCCCUCAACUAAAGAAUGGUUAAAGAAAAUGUGGUUCAUUUACACAAUGAGAUGCUACUCAGAUAUUAAAAACAAGGACACCAUGAAAUUUGUAGGCAAAUGGAUGGAACUAGAAAAUAUUCUGAGUAAAGUUACCCGAACCCAGACCUGCCUCUGGCCUCUCCUCCGUCCCAGUGUUCCUAGCCAGCCUUUUCCUCCUCUGUCUCUGUCUCUGUCUCUGUCUCUCUGUCUCUCAAUUUCUCUGUGUGUGCCCUUCUUGUCCCCCUUCUUUCUCAGCCUCUACUACUCUCUCAAUCUCUCUUCCCAUGCUCUCAAAUAAACUCUAUUUU